This 981-nucleotide ribosomal RNA is filed under the name uncultured bacterium. RNAcentral describes it as "bacterial SSU rRNA". It matches the Rfam family "Bacterial small subunit ribosomal RNA", at positions 510 to 1502 of the family's 1533-position model. The record is from RNAcentral.
AGCAGCCGCGGUAAUACGAAGGGACCUAGCGUAGUUCGGAAUUACUGGGCUUAAAGAGUUCGUAGGUGGUUGAAAAAGUUGGUGGUGAAAUCCCAGAGCUUAACUCUGGAACUGCCAUCAAAACUUUUCAGCUAGAGUAUGAUAGAGGAAAGCAGAAUUUCUAGUGUAGAGGUGAAAUUCGUAGAUAUUAGAAAGAAUACCAAUUGCGAAGGCAGCUUUCUGGAUCAUUACUGACACUGAGGAACGAAAGCAUGGGUAGCGAAGAGGAUUAGAUACCCUCGUAGUCCAUGCCGUAAACGAUGUGUGUUAGACGUUGGAAAUUUAUUUUCAGUGUCGCAGCGAAAGCGAUAAACACACCGCCUGGGGAGUACGACCGCAAGGUUAAAACUCAAAUGAAUUGACGGGGACCCGCACAAGUAGUGGAGCAUGUGGUUUAAUUCGAAGAUACGCGCAGAACCUUACCAACACUUGACAUGUUCGUCGCGACUUUGAGAGAUCAAAGUUUUCGGUUCGGCCGGACGAAACACAGGUGCUGCAUGGCUGUCGUCAGCUCGUGUCGUGAGAUGUUGGGUUAAGUCCCGCAACGAGCGCAACCCUCACUUUUAGUUGCCAUCAUUAAGUUGGGCACUCUGAAAGAACUGCCAGUGAUAAGCUGGAGGAAGGUGGGGAUGACGUCAAGUCCUCAUGGCCCUUACGUGUUGGGCUACACACGUGCUACAAUGGUAUCUACAACAGGAAGCAAAACUGCGAGGUUAAGCAAAUCCUUAAAAGAUACCUCAGUUCGGAUUGCACUCUGCAACUCGAGUGCAUGAAGCUGGAAUUACUAGUAAUCGUGGAUCAGCGUGCCACGGUGAAUGCGUUCCCGGGUCUUGUACACACCGCCCGUCACACCAUGGGAGUUGGUUCUACCUUAAGGCAAGGUUUCAAACCCUUGACCACGGUAUAGUCAGCGACUGGGGUGAAGUCGUAACAAGGUAGCCG